CCAGCCUGGGCAACAUGGUGAAACCCCGUCUCUACUAAAAAUACAAAAAAUUAGCUGAGUGUGGUUGUGGGCCCCUGUAAUCCCAGCUGCUUGGGAGGCUGAGGCAGGAGAAUUGCUUGAACCCAGGAGGUGGAGGUUGCAGGGAGUCGAGAUCGUGCCACUGCACUCCAGCCUGGGCAAUGAGAGCAAAACUCCAUCUCAAAAAACAAAAAAACAACAACAAAAUAAAGCCCUCUCUGUAGAGGAUGCGGAUUGCAGGCAGGCCCUUCAGUCCUUUUGCCCAAGCUUGCUUUUUUGUGGCUUUGGGUGCCAACCUUCUUGUGCUCCAGAGCAAGGGUCUGGGCUUUCUGGGUAGUGGAGAGGCCAGGAGGUGAUCUUUUGGGCCCUGCUGUCCUGGUCCGACUGCAUUCUUCCUUUGUUGGGCCCCUGGCAUUGGGCUACAGGGUCUCUGUAGAUGAGGGUGAAGGGAGCUCCUAGAAAGCUGGGCAUGGCCUGAGACUGGGGAGAUGGAAGCAAAGAGGGAAGUAUUAAUCAGAGACCAGCCCCAAAUCAGGCAGGAAAGAGGCA
RNAcentral lists this long non-coding RNA (567 nucleotides) under Homo sapiens (human). RNAcentral's name for it is "HSALNT0241087". The record is from RNAcentral. Lineage: Eukaryota; Metazoa; Chordata; Mammalia; Primates; Hominidae.